GCCGGAGUGGCAGAGUAGUUAUGCGACCGCCUGCAGAGCGGUUUACCAGGGUGCAAAUCCCUGCUCCGGCU
Molecule: transfer RNA, 71 nt
Filed under: Candidatus Nanosalina sp. J07AB43
Lineage: Archaea; Methanobacteriati; Methanobacteriota; Candidatus Nanohaloarchaea
Also listed under: 2 other names
Rfam family: tRNA
About the family: Transfer RNA (tRNA) molecules are approximately 80 nucleotides in length.
Source: Rfam by way of RNAcentral